This 240-nucleotide small RNA is filed under the name Arabidopsis thaliana (thale cress). RNAcentral describes it as "ATSL002770". Lineage: Eukaryota; Viridiplantae; Streptophyta; Magnoliopsida; Brassicales; Brassicaceae. The record is from RNAcentral.
AUAUAACUUAAUAACUAUUGUAAAUCAGAAAAUAUUAAACAUAUAUUAUUUUGAAACAUUUUAAGAAAGAUAUGAAAAUAAAAACACGGAAUAACGAUAAGUUCUGUCGAUUGUUGCAAAAUUUAAAGAUUGAAAAUAAGAACAAAUUGUUUUAAAGAAUAACAAGAUUGUCGAUUAAAUCGGUUUUAAUUUAAGGACUAAAGUGAUAAUUUGUAUAAAGUAUAAGCUCUGAUAUGAUUA